CCUAACACAUGCAAGUCGAACGGCAGCACAGCAGUAGCAAUACUGUGGUGGCGAGUGGCGGACGGGUGAGGAAUACGUCGGAAUCUGCCCAGUCGUGGGGAUAACUAGCCGAAAGGUUAGCUAAUACCGCAUACGACCGAGAGGUGAAAGCGGGGACCGCAAGGCCUCGCGCGAUUGGAUGAGCCGACGUCGGAUUAGCUAGUUGGCGGGGUAAAGGCCACCAAGGCGACGAUCCGUAGCUGGUCUGAGAGGAAUGAUCAGCCACACUGGAACUGAGACACGGUCCAGACUCCUACGGGAGGCAGCAGUGGGGAAUAUUGGACAAUGGGCGCAAGCCUGAUCCAGCAAUGCCGCGUGUGUGAAGAAGGCCUUCGGGUUGUAAAGCACUUUUAUCAGGAACGAAAAGCGUUGGAUUAAUACUCUGACGUGCUGACGGUACCUGAGGAAUAAGCACCGGCUAACUUCGUG
Molecule: ribosomal RNA, 468 nt
Filed under: uncultured bacterium
Lineage: Bacteria
Description: bacterial SSU rRNA
Rfam family: Bacterial small subunit ribosomal RNA
Source: RNAcentral